RNAcentral lists this long non-coding RNA (700 nucleotides) under Nicotiana benthamiana. RNAcentral describes it as "long non-coding RNA (NBEN_LNC009870)". Lineage: Eukaryota; Viridiplantae; Streptophyta; Magnoliopsida; Solanales; Solanaceae. The record is from RNAcentral.
UAGAAGGUGAUGGAUCACAGAAGCUGCGGAUUUUUCUCUUCUCUAACAGUGACUUGGAUGAUGCUCAAGCUGGUCUUGAGAAUGUUGAAGGAGAUUCAGAGAUGCAGUAUGUUGUUGCUGUGCGGAUUUUUCUCUUCUCUACCAGUGACUUGGAUGAUGCUCAAGCUGGUCUUGAGAAUGUUGAAGGAGAUUCAGAGAUGCAGUAUGUUGUUGCUGUCAAUGGCAUGGACUUCGGGUCUAGAAGAAACUCAAUUGCUCUGGCGAGUGCUUCAGGAAAUAAUCUGGAUGAGUUUCUUCACUUAACAAUUGCUCGUGAGAAUAGUCGAGUUGCUGCUGUUGCUUCUUGUUCACUGGGUGGUGUGCCUCUAGCUGGUCAAUCUGCUCAUGUGAUGGCGUCAAGUUCAUUGCAUGCCUUUGACUCCAACCAACAAGGGUACCAUGGUCAAACUAUUCAUCAUGGCGGUGCUGAAUGGAGACCUUUACCCACUAGCAUGCCUGUUGACAACUUCCAAAAUUUAGAUGCCAAAAGCCCUGUUUUCCCCCAGUACGACCAUGAUUCUCAUCCACCCAACUCCAUGCCUGUUGACAACCUCCAAAAUUUAGAUGCCAAAAGCCCUGUUUUCCCCCAGUACGACCAUGAUUCUCAUCCACCCAGCUCCUCACAACUCACAGAUAACUUUGUUGUUAGUACAAGCCGUGG